UACGUCCGUCAUGCCUCUUAGUGGAAGAUAGUAUUUGAAGUAAAUACGGAUACGUAGUUGAAGCUGUAUUGCUAUUUUCUGUAGACCACAGGGACACACGAACAACUACUGUAUUUGCUGAAAGGCAUAAUUUGACUCAGAGUAUAUUUAUAUCCGUUAGAGGGUGUUUCCAAACAUCACCACCCCGGGAAAGCCUUGUCGAGAGAAGAUGAAGCCUAAGGCAACAAUGUUGAACCUAGAGGCUAUAUGCUCAGAAAAUUGAUUGGGUUCCGCCCAAUGAGGAUCGAUAUCCUCAGAAAACCUUUGUUUGAAUCCGUGCAAUGUGUUCCUCCUAUAUCAGCAGAUUAAUUAAGAAGAGAGAGAAGCACGAAGUUUGUCUCAUCGGCAAUCUUUUCUUUUACUUUCCUUGCCCGAAUGAUAAGAGUGCUGUGAACAAUCAACAGUGGAAACAGCUACAUCAAUACUUCUGUAAACCACUGAUAAGUGAAACUGCUGUGGACAAAACCAUUACAUCAACUUCUGUGAGCAAUUAGUAGUUGAAACUGCUACAUCAAGACUUCUGUGAACAAAAACUCCUACAUCAAGACUUCUGUGAACACAAACUGCUACAUCACUACUUCUGUGAACAAAAACUGCUACAUCAACACUUCUGUGAACAAAAACUGCUACAUCAACACUUCUGUGAACAAAAACUGCUACAUCAACACUUCUGUGAACAUAAACUGCUACAUCAACAUUUCUGUGAACAGUCAGUAGUUGAAACUGCUACAUUAGCACUUCUGUAAACCAAUGAUAGGUUAAACUGCUGUGAACAAUCAGUAGUUGAGACAGCUACAUUAGCACUUCUGUAAACUAAUGAUAGUUAAACUGCUGUGAACAAUCAGUAGUUGAAACAGCUACAUUAGCACUUCUGUAAACCAAUGAUAGGUUAAACUGCUGUGGACAAAACCAUUACAUCAACACUUCUGUGAACAAUCAGUAGUUGAAAAUGCUACAUCAAUGCUUUUGUAAACAACCAGCAGUUCUAAUUGUUACGUUAAUGAUUCCAUGACUGAUCGCUCAGCGAAACUGUUACAUUUGAGAACGAAAUGCUUUUGUUAUGCUUGCCCAUAGACUAACUCUGGACUCACAGCUGUAAGGUUGCUAUGGAAACGGCUAACUUGUCGAAAUAAGUGAUCAAGAAUACAUUAUUUACAGAAUGCUUCUUUUUCAUCCCUCUUUGUUGGUUUCUUGGUAACCACUUGCAAGCAUUUUUUGGAUGUCAUCGCGAAAAUUAUUCAUAUAUAUGAAACUUCUCAACGGCAUUAAAGAAACGUUUUAAUAACGGAGAAAAAAAAAUGUUCAGCUGCUUGUGAUUAUGAAUAAAUAUCUUUAGGGCGACAUCAUGAGGAAAUCAUUUCUUGAUCGAUUAUAUAGUGUUUAUUCAGCACUUUAGGGGGAAAAACUAAUAAAAAGAUUGGCUUACUGUGAAGUGAAAAACAAAAUCUUAUCGAUGAAUACGAAUUUUAUUUGGAAAUUAAGGGAAUUUACAUUCUCGCAAAUAAACUGCUUCCAUAAUCAAGACGACGUAAAAAAAAACAUCAUACCAGAAACGUAAGACUACACUACACUGAGUUUCAGGUGAGGACUUAUUGUCGAAACCUAAAAAAAAAUCGUUUCUUGUGUAAUCAAGGAAGACGUAGAUUUUCAAGUUGAUGAAGUGCCUUCCUAAAAAUAUUAUCAGAAGAUAGGUGAGACUUAUCUUUGGGAAACUCGUCUUAUAUAUUGGUGGUUAAGACAUAAAAAAAGGAAGAAAUAUGGCUGUUUAUCGACAUCCAAAAAUGGAUUAUCUUCUCUCAAAGCUUCGUCUUAAUAUGGUGAGUAGGUUUUAAUAUCUCUCAUGUUAAUGAUUUGUUUUUCACUAAUAUUGGUUUGUGUUCCUUGGUUAUGAUUUUAUAUUUACAACA
This is a long non-coding RNA of Limulus polyphemus (Atlantic horseshoe crab), 1946 nucleotides long. RefSeq lists it as uncharacterized. Lineage: Eukaryota; Metazoa; Arthropoda; Merostomata; Xiphosura; Limulidae. The record is from RefSeq and is a predicted model, not a curated record. The transcript is spliced from 3 exons.